UACGUAGGGGGCUAGCGUUGCUCGGAAUCACUGGGCGUAAAGCGCUCGUAGGCGGCUUUCUAAGUCAGGGGUGAAAUCCUGGAGCUCAACUCCAGAACUGCCUUUGAUACUGGAGAGCUUGAGUCCGGAAGAGGUGAGUGGAACUCCGAGUGUAGAGGUGAAAUUCGUAGAUAUUCGGAAGAACACCAGUGGCGAAGGCGGCUCACUGGUCCGGUACUGACGCUGAUGUGCGAAAGCGUGGGGAUCAAACAGG
This 253-nucleotide ribosomal RNA is filed under the name uncultured bacterium. RNAcentral describes it as "partial 16S ribosomal RNA". It matches the Rfam family "Bacterial small subunit ribosomal RNA", at positions 524 to 776 of the family's 1533-position model. The record is from RNAcentral.